CGGAGCAGAAAAUUAAAUAUCAGCAGCAGACUGCUUUUAAAUUAUAGUUUCAAAGUGUACAUUAGCAGGUUGAUAAAAAGAGAAGUUAAAAAAUUAUCAGUACCUCACAUUACGGCUGCCACGAGACGAAGAACAACAUGAAACUUUCUGGCGGCUGAAAAGAUAAUGGAGUCCUGACUUGCUGCAAAGAGCGAGUGGGCUGACCUCUCACUCCGGUUUCGGUGUCCAAGGUCUGAGCUUCCCGCCACUUGCUUCAUGAGAACUGAUUGGACCUGUCAAUCAAAGCCUGGCAUUUAAGAGUCAGUCAGUGGCUGAGCAGCCUGAGGCGAGCCAGCCAGCCUCCGAGCAGCGAUGUCGACUGCUUGCUAGCGGGAGGUGACGUGACGGCGUUGGGUGAGGCGCUGGCAGAGGCGCUCUUACUGGGCGGCACUUCUUGGUAAUGGAUGGUGGCGCUGUUGUGCAGGUCAGCGCUGAUGAAGCACCGGCUGCCUCUGAUGUGGUCCACGCCGCGGACCGCCGGGUGUCCUCGGUACGGCAGCGGAAAGCACUGCUCGUCCUCCUCGCUGAUGCCGCUGAUGCCCUCGUUGCUGAGAUACCUGUGGACAUGUUUGGGUCCUGCAGCACAGCAUCACAAAGUCACUUUUAACUUCCAUAACAUCAAAUUAAAUGUAAUUAGUUACUUUAUAUCCAGUGUUUACCUUUCCUUCCUGCAGCACCACGCCGGCCGGACAAGUCCGAUACCCCUGAGAGCACCUCCACCGGCAUGGACACAGGUCGAGGUUUACCUGCACGCCCCCGCCCUCCCGCACACAGAGAACAUGCCCAUUAUUCAUGUUUGAACUUUAGCCCAGAGGAGUCAGGAUUAAAAGGAGAGAGCGCUCUCACCACGUGUACACGUGCGCUCUCGGAGGCGGACCGUAAUUGGCUGGUUCCCUUCUGCAGGGCCGGAGGAUGCCCCCUUGUCGCCACUAGCAACAGGCAAGUCUGCAUCCAGACACGAGUUAGGAGACCUGCGCCUCGUCUUCACGCCCUGACUCGCCUCUCUGAGGAAGAAAGUAGAGAUGCAUUCUUUGUAAGAGCCCGCAGACAAAGAUGAGAGAUGAAGGUGUCUUCUACUCACAGCGCUAAGUACGGGGCGGCAGGGUGAGUGGGGGUGUACAGAUCCAAGAUGGCCGUCUGGCCGCCGUUUGAAGAGGAGUCAGAAGUUUCUGGAUAUCUGGAGACACCUGCUGCUGCCUGAGUGGACACAAGUUACUGACAUUUGUAUUUUCAGAAUCACAAUGGCCUUUAUUCGUCACUUAUACUGUACAGAGGUACAAGCAAAACUGUGCCAUCUCCCGUCCAUACACAUACAACAUAACAUACAAUAAAAG
Long non-coding RNA from Dunckerocampus dactyliophorus (ringed pipefish), 1373 nucleotides. RefSeq lists it as uncharacterized. The record is from RefSeq and is a predicted model, not a curated record. NCBI's taxonomy places the organism in Eukaryota, Metazoa, Chordata, Actinopteri, Syngnathiformes, Syngnathidae. The transcript is spliced from 3 exons.